UACGUAGGGUGCGAGCGUUGUCCGGAUUUAUUGGGCGUAAAGAGCUCGUAGGCGGCUUGUCGCGUCGGAUGUGAAAGCCCGGGGCUUAACUCCGGGUCUGCAUUCGAUACGGGCAGGCUAGAGUGUGGUAGGGGAGAUCGGAAUUCCUGGUGUAGCGGUGAAAUGCGCAGAUAUCAGGAGGAACACCGGUGGCGAAGGCGGAUCUCUGGGCCAUUACUGACGCUGAGGAGCGAAGGCGUGGGGAGCGAACAGG
This 253-nucleotide ribosomal RNA is filed under the name uncultured bacterium. RNAcentral describes it as "partial 16S ribosomal RNA". It matches the Rfam family "Bacterial small subunit ribosomal RNA", at positions 524 to 776 of the family's 1533-position model. The record is from RNAcentral.